Molecule: ribosomal RNA, 523 nt
Filed under: uncultured bacterium
Lineage: Bacteria
Description: bacterial SSU rRNA
Rfam family: Bacterial small subunit ribosomal RNA
Source: RNAcentral
AUCCAGAGAACUUAGCAGAGAUGCUUUGGUGCCUUCGGGAACUCUGAGACAGGUGCUGCAUGGCUGUCGUCAGCUCGUGUUGUGAAAUGUUGGGUUAAGUCCCGNAACGAGCGCAACCCUUAUCCUUUGUUGCCAGCGGCUCGGCCGGGAACUCAAAGGAGACUGCCGGUGAUAAACCGGAGGAAGGUGGGGAUGACGUCAAGUCAUCAUGGCCCUUACGGCCAGGGCUACACACGUGCUACAAUGGCGCAUACAAAGAGAAGCGACCUCGCGAGAGCAAGCGGACCUCAUAAAGUGCGUCGUAGUCCGGAUUGGAGUCUGCAACUCGACUCCAUGAAGUCGGAAUCGCUAGUAAUCGUAGAUCAGAAUGCUACGGUGAAUACGUUCCCGGGCCUUGUACACACCGCCCGUCACACCAUGGGAGUGGGUUGCAAAAGAAGUAGGUAGCUUAACCUUCGGGAGGGCGCUUACCACUUCGUGAUUCAUGACUGGGGUGAAGUCGUAACAAGGUAAGCGUACGUGU